RNAcentral lists this ribosomal RNA (1372 nucleotides) under uncultured bacterium. Its description in RNAcentral is "bacterial SSU rRNA". It matches the Rfam family "Bacterial small subunit ribosomal RNA", at positions 28 to 1381 of the family's 1533-position model. The record is from RNAcentral.
GAUGAACGCUGGCGGCGUGCCUAAUACAUGCAAGUCGAGCGAACGGACGAGAAGCUUGCUUCUCUGAUGUUAGCGGCGGACGGGUGAGUAACACGUGGAUAACCUACCUAUAAGACUGGGAUAACUUCGGGAAACCGGAGCUAAUACCGGAUAAUAUUUUGAACCGCAUGGUUCAAAAGUGAAAGACGGUCUUGCUGUCACUUAUAGAUGGAUCCGCGCUGCAUUAGCUAGUUGGUAAGGUAACGGCUUACCAAGGCAACGAUGCAUAGCCGACCUGAGAGGGUGAUCGGCCGCACUGGAACUGAGACACGGUCCAGACUCCUACGGGAGGCAGCAGUAGGGAAUCUUCCGCAAUGGGCGAAAGCCUGACGGAGCAACGCCGCGUGAGUGAUGAAGGUCUUCGGAUCGUAAAACUCUGUUAUUAGGGAAGAACAUAUGUGUAAGUAACUGUGCACAUCUUGACGGUACCUAAUCAGAAAGCCACGGCUAACUACGUGCCAGCAGCCGCGGUAAUACGUAGGUGGCAAGCGUUAUCCGGAAUUAUUGGGCGUAAAGCGCGCGUAGGCGGUUUUUUAAGUCUGAUGUGAAAGCCCACGGCUCAACCGUGGAGGGUCAUUGGAAACUGGAAAACUUGAGUGCAGAAGAGGAAAGUGGAAUUCCAUGUGUAGCGGUGAAAUGCGCAGAGAUAUGGAGGAACACCAGUGGCGAAGGCGACUUUCUGGUCUGUAACUGACGCUGAUGUGCGAAAGCGUGGGGAUCAAACAGGAUUAGAUACCCUGGUAGUCCACGCCGUAAACGAUGAGUGCUAAGUGUUAGGGGGUUUCCGCCCCUUAGUGCUGCAGCUAACGCAUUAAGCACUCCGCCUGGGGAGUACGACCGCGAGGUUGAAACUCAAAGGAAUUGACGGGGACCCGCACAAGCGGUGGAGCAUGUGGUUUAAUUCGAAGCAACGCGAAGAACCUUACCAAAUCUUGACAUCCUUUGACAACUCUAGAGAUAGAGCCUUCCCCUUCGGGGGACAAAGUGACAGGUGGUGCAUGGUUGACGUCAGUUCGUGUCGUGAGAUGUUGGGUUAAGUCCCGCAACGAGCGCAACCCUUAAGCUUAGUUGCCAUCAUUAAGUUGGGCACUCUAAGUUGACUGCCGGUGACAAACCGGAGGAAGGUGGGGAUGACGUCAAAUCAUCAUGCCCCUUAUGAUUUGGGCUACACACGUGCUACAAUGGACAAUACAAAGGGCAGCGAAACCGCGAGGUCAAGCAAAUCCCAUAAAGUUGUUCUCAGUUCGGAUUGUAGUCUGCAACUCGACUACAUGAAGCUGGAAUCGCUAGUAAUCGUAGAUCAGCAUGCUACGGUGAAUACGUUCCCGGGUCU